CUCGAAACCUGCCCUGCAGAAUGACCGCGAACUGUCGUUUUCAAUUCAGCGGGGUGCGAGAGGCGUUGUCACUCGCGCCCCGCAUGCUCGGGAGACGUGGGCUCCCACGCCUUCUUGGGCUUCAACAACGAACCCCGGCGCGGAACGCGCCAAGGAACACGUACUAAAGGAGAACCAUCCUGUCGCCUCGGAAACGAUGUGCGCAGGGUGCCUUGUUUUUUGACUGUAACCACAACGACUCUCGGCAACGGAUAUCUCGGCUCUCGCAUCGAUGAAGAACGUAGCGAAAUGCGAUACUUGGUGUGAAUUGCAGAAUCCCGUGAACCAUCGAGUCUUUGAACGCAAGUUGCGCCUGAAGCCUUCUGGCCAAGGGCACGUCUGCCUGGGUGUCACAUAACGUAAGCCCCUCCAACCCCUUUGGUAAGGUGUGGGCGGACAUUGGCCUCCCGUGCGCCCCCGCUCGCGGUUGGCCCAAAUUUGAGUCCCCAGCGAUGAGCGCCACGACCAGCGGUGGUUGAAAGACCCUCGGACAGUGUCGGGCGCUCGCGUAUAGUCGGGAUGACCAAGACCCUGAAGCGUUCCUGUCGUGGAUGCUACCAUUGCGACCCCAGGUCAGGCGGGAUUACCCGCUGAAUUUAAGCAUAUC
RNAcentral lists this ribosomal RNA (646 nucleotides) under Bergia capensis. RNAcentral's name for it is "eukaryotic LSU rRNA". The stretch from base 237 to 392 matches the Rfam family "5.8S ribosomal RNA". The record is from RNAcentral. Lineage: Eukaryota; Viridiplantae; Streptophyta; Magnoliopsida; Malpighiales; Elatinaceae.